UAAUACGGAGGGUGCGAGCGUUGUCCGGAAUCACUGGGCGUAAAGGGCGCGUAGGCGGCUACUUAAGCGUGUGGUGAAAGUCCGGGGCUCAACCCCGGAUCGGCCGUGCGAACUGAGUGGCUCGAGCACUGUAGAGGCAGGUGGAAUUCCGGGUGUAGCGGUGGAAUGCGUAGAGAUCCGGAAGAACACCGGUGGCGAAGGCGGCCUGCUGGGCAGUGGCUGACGCUGAGGCGCGACAGCGUGGGGAGCAAACAGGAUUAGAUACCCUGGUAGUCCACGCCGUAAACGAUGGGCACUAGGUGCCUGGGGGAGCGACCCCCUGGGUGCCGUCGCUAACGCAUUAAGUGCCCCGCCUGGGGAGUACGGCCGCAAGGCUG
Molecule: ribosomal RNA, 377 nt
Filed under: uncultured bacterium
Lineage: Bacteria
Description: bacterial SSU rRNA
Rfam family: Bacterial small subunit ribosomal RNA
Source: RNAcentral